AACACUCAAACACAUAUGCAUGUUCAAAUCAAAAGGUCCUUUAUGGAUGUAAUGGGGCCAAGGACAAGGGAGGAUAAAAUAUGGAUGAGAAGCUACAAACCAAAAAGAAUAGAGGAGCAAUGGGGAAUAAGUGAAAACACAGUCAAAUCACACCCAAAACCCUCUAAUUCAAUCCUCUUCUUGACUCCAUUAUUCACAAUAUUUUUUAUUUUUUUAUUUUUUUUUUGUUUUUUUUCUUCUUUUUUUUUCAUCUUGUCUCUUUUCUUUUUCUCUCCUUUCAGAACACAACUCUAAGAGACAAG
RNAcentral lists this long non-coding RNA (302 nucleotides) under Vigna radiata. RNAcentral describes it as "long non-coding RNA (VRAD_LNC001055)". The record is from RNAcentral. Lineage: Eukaryota; Viridiplantae; Streptophyta; Magnoliopsida; Fabales; Fabaceae.